AUGGGAAGUGGCAUAGAAGGAUUCAUGGGUGGCAUGGGUGGAUUGAUGGGUGCCAUGGGAGGUGGCAUGGAUGGUGUUGUGGGUGCCAUGGGAGGAGGCAUGGGUGGUGCUAUGAGUGGUGGGAUGGGAGGAGGCAUGGAUGACAAUGGAGACAAUGAAACCAAUGGUGGCAAUGAGACCAAUGUUCCAAGCCAUGGAGGCAAUGGGAACACAAGUGACAAUAGAGGAGAUGAAACUCGAGAGACUAUGUUCUAUGUACUUUUAUCUUUAUUAUGCAAAAAAUGUGUUGGUGAUGCACUAUGCUUAUGGUUUGCAUUUGAAUUUGAUAUGUGGAUUCGAGGUUCAAUUUGA
RNAcentral lists this ribosomal RNA (351 nucleotides) under Triticum aestivum (bread wheat). RNAcentral's name for it is "partial small subunit ribosomal RNA". Lineage: Eukaryota; Viridiplantae; Streptophyta; Magnoliopsida; Poales; Poaceae. The record is from RNAcentral.